UUGCCUCAGUAACGGCGAGUGAAGCGGCAACAGCUCAAAUUUUAAAGCUGGCGUCUUUGACGCCCGCGUUGUAAUUUGGAGAGGCAUCUUCGGUUUGGGCGCCAGCCUAUGUUCCUUGGAACAGGACGUCACAGAGGGUGAGAAUCCCGUGCUUGGCUGGCUGUCCCUUUCCAUGUGAAGUGCCUUCGACGAGUCGAGUUGUUUGGGAAUGCAGCUCAAAAUGGGUGGUAAAUUCCAUCUAAAGCUAAAUAUUGGCGGGAGACCGAUAGCGCACAAGUAGAGUGAUCGAAAGAUGAAAAGCACUUUGAAAAUAGAGUUAAAAAGUACGUGAAAUUGUUGAAAGGGAAGCGCUUGAGACCAGACUCGGCCGGAGAUGAUCAGCCGUCCUUCUGGGCGGUGCACUUGUCUCCGGUCGGGCCAGCAUCGGUUGAGACGGCGGGAUAAAGGCCCGGGGAAUGUGGCUCCUUUCGGGGAGUGUUAUAGCCCCGGGCGCAAUGCCGCCAGCCUCGACCGAGGACCGCGCUUUUUGUUAGGAUGCUGGCGUAAUGGUCUUCAGCGACCCGUCUUGAAACACGGACCAAGGAGUCUAACAUCUAUGCGAGUGUUUGGGUGUCAAACCCUUGCGCGUAAUGAAAGUGAACGGAGGUGGGAACCCCUUCGCGGGGCGCACCAUCGACCGGUCCUGAUGUCUUCGGAUGGAUCUGAGUAGGAGCAUAGCUGUUGGGACCCGAAAGAUGGUGAACUAUGCCUGAAUAGGGUGAAGCCAGAGGAAACUCUGGUGGAGGCUCGCAGCGGUUCUGACGUGCAAAUCGAUCGUCAAAUUUGGGUAUAGGGGCGAAAGACUAAUCGAACCAUCUAGUAGCUGGUUCCUG
This 872-nucleotide ribosomal RNA is filed under the name Paragyromitra xinjiangensis. Its description in RNAcentral is "Gyromitra xinjiangensis partial 28S ribosomal RNA". It matches the Rfam family "Eukaryotic large subunit ribosomal RNA", at positions 75 to 960 of the family's 3401-position model. The record is from RNAcentral. Lineage: Eukaryota; Fungi; Ascomycota; Pezizomycetes; Pezizales; Discinaceae.